GCGGGACGGGUCAAACAUUGGAAAUAUCUGAUUUGUAAUCAGCAGGUCGGGGGUUCGAAUCCGUCCGCCAGCUCCA
RNAcentral lists this transfer RNA (76 nucleotides) under Thiorhodovibrio frisius. RNAcentral's name for it is "Thiorhodovibrio sp. 970 tRNA-OTHER". Lineage: Bacteria; Pseudomonadati; Pseudomonadota; Gammaproteobacteria; Chromatiales; Chromatiaceae. The record is from RNAcentral.